AUUGAACGCUGGCGGUAUGCUUAACACAUGCAAGUCGAACGAUGAGAAAGAGCUUGCUCUUUCGAUUCGUGGCGGACGGGUGCGUAACGCGUAGGAAUCUACCUAUUAGUGGGGGACAACUUAGGGAAACUUACGCUAAUACCGCGUACGCCCUACGGGGGAAAGAAGGGGAUCGAAAGACCUUUUGCUAACAGAUGAGCAUGCGUAGGAUUAGGUAGUGGGUGGGGUAAAAGCUCACCAAGGCGACGAUCCUUACCUGGUUUGAGAGAAUGAGCAGUCACACUGGAACUGAGACACGGCCCAGACUCCUACGGGAGGCAGCAGUGGGGAAUAUUGGACAAUGGGCGAAAGCCUGAUCCAGCAAUCCCGCGUGUGUGAAGAAGGCCUUAGGGUUGUAAAGCACUUUCAAUUGGAAGGAAAACCUCGAAGCUAAUACCUUCGAGUUUGACAUUACCUUUAUAAGAAGCACCGGCUAACUCCGUGCCAGCCGCCGCCGUAA
Molecule: ribosomal RNA, 499 nt
Filed under: uncultured bacterium
Lineage: Bacteria
Description: partial 16S ribosomal RNA
Rfam family: Bacterial small subunit ribosomal RNA
Source: RNAcentral